This 417-nucleotide ribosomal RNA is filed under the name uncultured bacterium. RNAcentral describes it as "bacterial SSU rRNA". It matches the Rfam family "Bacterial small subunit ribosomal RNA", at positions 917 to 1333 of the family's 1533-position model. The record is from RNAcentral.
GGGCCCGCACAAGCGGUGGAGCAUGUGGUUUAAUUCGACGAUACGCGAAGAACCUUACCAAGACUUGACAUCCGCAGAAUCUUCUAGAGAUAGAGGAGUGCCUUCGGGAACUGCGUGACAGGUGGUGCAUGGCUGUCGUCAGCUCGUGUCGUGAGAUGUUGGGUUAAGUCCCGCAACGAGCGAAACCCUUGUCUUAUGUUACCAGCACGUUAUGGUGGGGACUCAUAAGAGACUGCCCGUGGAAAGCGGGAGGAAGGUGAGGACGACGUCAAGUCAUCAUGCCCCUUACGUCUUGGGCCACACACAUGCUACAAUGGCCGGUACAAUGAGUCGCGAAGCCGCGAGGUGGAGCCAAUCUCAAAAAACCGGUCUCAGUUCGGAUUGUAGUCUGUAACUCGACUACAUGAAGUCGGAAUU